AAAAUAACCUCAUAGAUUGCAUGGAAGUUCGAGCUGAAAGUUGUUCGUUUAUGCAAAAUGGUGGAAGUUAAAGUUUUUAGUAAAUCCAAUUGGAUUGUGUUGUCUUUUGUGAUUUGGCAAAUGCUAGCCCUCACAAUGGGAAGACCUGCACCUCAAGAUGAUGAUCCUUGUGAUGAUCCCGUUAGCGAGAUGUGUCAAUUACUUCUAGAUGUAUCAGCCAGUAAGAGCAUAUCUUUAAUUUGAAAGCAGACUUCGAACUGAUAUUUACUUAUCUAUAUAUUGUUUUUUAUCUUUUUUCCGAAUCUAUAAUCUAUGCUUUUGGAUGAAAUUGAAAUACAUUGAAUUGCAGCUGUGGAAGGUACGUAAA
Molecule: long non-coding RNA, 367 nt
Organism: Phlebotomus papatasi
Lineage: Eukaryota; Metazoa; Arthropoda; Insecta; Diptera; Psychodidae
Exons: 4
Source: RefSeq, a predicted model, not a curated record